Molecule: ribosomal RNA, 498 nt
Filed under: uncultured bacterium
Lineage: Bacteria
Description: partial 16S ribosomal RNA
Rfam family: Bacterial small subunit ribosomal RNA
Source: RNAcentral
AGCGAACGCUGGCGGCGUGCCUAACACAUGCAAGUCGAACGUGAAAAGGGAAACCUGAGUAAAGUGGCGUACGGGUGAGUAACGCUUAGGUAAUCUACCCCAGAAUCUGGAAUAACCUGCCGAAAGGCGGGCUAAUACUGGAUAGAGCGAGGGAACUCGUAAGAGAGUUUUUCGGGAAAGGGAGCCCGCAAGGGCCUUCGUUCUGGGAUGAGCCUGCGUCUCAUUAGCUAGUUGGUAAGGUAACGGCUUACCAAGGCGAUGAUGAGUAGCUGGUCUGAGAGGAUGAUCAGCCACACUGGAACUGAAACACGGUCCAGACUCCUACGGGAGGCAGCAGUGGGGAAUCUUGCGCAAUGGACGAAAGUCUGACGCAGCCACGCCGCGUGAGUGAAGAAGGCCUUCGGGUUGUAAAGCUCUGUCGGAUGGGACGAACAUCUUCAUAGUGAAUAGCUAUGAGGACUGACGGUACCAUCAAAGGAAGCACCGGCUAACUCCGUG